Molecule: long non-coding RNA, 972 nt
Organism: Peromyscus leucopus (white-footed mouse)
Lineage: Eukaryota; Metazoa; Chordata; Mammalia; Rodentia; Cricetidae
Exons: 3
Source: RefSeq, a predicted model, not a curated record
GUAAGCAAUAGAAGUUGAGCUGCAAAGAAGACUGAGACCAGACCAGCUGCCCGGCAGAAGCAGAAACCAGUAGAACUGCCUGGGAGAGGUUUGGACCAACCGAGGCACCUGGAAAGGGCACUCUCUGCCCUGUUGAGGGGCCCCCAGGCUGUGCAGUGUGCUCCAGGUUCCCAGCUCUGUGAGUGGUCACCCAUGCUAAGGUCUCCGAAGACUGGAUUCCUCAUCUGCUUUCUUUCCUCCCACCUUAAGAACAUCCACCAGCUGGAAACAAAGUGACCGUAUUUGCCUACCUUUGUCCAAGUGAGAAUGAUGUGUGCUGUGGGGAUUACAUGGGAAAUUCCUUGUUUCAGUGCAGUACAGGUCCCUCUUGUGUUGGUUAUGAAGAUUGUCUUGCUUCUGCUCCUUGAAGCAUGAAAACCAAUUCUGUGAAUUCAUCAGCAUUUCAGCCAGUGUUCUGCUUUUCCUUCAUACCAUCGUCACCAUCUCCACCACUACCACCAUCAUCACCAUGUCCUCCACCACUACCACCACCAUCACCUUCUCCACCACUACCACCACCAUCACCAUCUCCUCCACUACCACCAUCGUCACCACCUCCUCCACCACCCCUAUAAUCUUGCCAUCUGGAUAGUGUGAGCAUCUAAGGUGACUACUGUAGAGAGUCAGAAUGGAAAAACCAUAUUUUGACCAUGUGCCGGGCUAGCUCAGUUGAAGAGUGUCUGCCUAGCAUGCCCGAGGCCCUGGGCUCAGUCUCCCAAGCAUGGACACUGGUGUGGAGGCAGGGAGGUCAGACGUUCAGGUCAGCCUUAGCUACCUACUUAGCUGGAGACCCUGUUUCAAAAACAAACCAUUUGUCCAGACAGAUGUGACUUUGGUUUCGUCACUGCGUUUCCUCAGACAACUUACUCCUUUGUAUGCCAGGGUUUUGUUUUGUUUUUAUUUUUUUCCCUAGACAGGGUUUCUCUGUGUAGU